AUUGAACGCUGGCGGCAGGCCUAACACAUGCAAGUCGAGCGGCAGCACUUCGGGUGGCGAGCGGCGAACGGGUGAGUAAUACAUGGGAAUCUGCCUGGUAGUGGGGGAUAACUCUGGGAAACUAGAGGUAAUACCGCAUACGCCCUACGGGGGAAAGCGGGGGGAUCUUCGGACCUCGCGCUAUCAGAGGAGCCCAUGUCCGAUUAGCUAGUUGGUGAGGUAAAGGCUCACCAAGGCGACGAUCGGUAACUGGUCUGAGAGGAUGAUCAGUCACACUGGAACUGAGACACGGUCCAGACUCCUACGGGAGGCAGCAGUGGGGAAUAUUGGACAAUAGGGCGCAAGCCUGAUCCAGCCAUGCCGCGUGUGUGAAGAAGGUCUUCGGAUUGUAAAGCACUUUAAGUUGGGAGGAAGGGUAGUAGCUUAAUACGUUGCUACUUUGACGUUACCG
RNAcentral lists this ribosomal RNA (451 nucleotides) under uncultured bacterium. Its description in RNAcentral is "bacterial SSU rRNA". It matches the Rfam family "Bacterial small subunit ribosomal RNA", at positions 30 to 480 of the family's 1533-position model. The record is from RNAcentral.